Molecule: ribosomal RNA, 464 nt
Filed under: uncultured bacterium
Lineage: Bacteria
Description: partial 16S ribosomal RNA
Rfam family: Bacterial small subunit ribosomal RNA
Source: RNAcentral
CUACGGGCGGCAGCAGUGGGGAAUAUUGCACAAUGGGCGCAAGCCUGAUGCAGCCAUGCCGCGUGUAUGAAGAAGGCCUUCGGGUUGUAAAGUACUUUCAGCGGGGAGGAAGGGAGUAAAGUUAAUACCUUUGCUCAUUGACGUUACCCGCAGAAGAAGCACCGGCUAACUCCGUGCCAGCAGCCGCGGUAAUACGGAGGGUGCAAGCGUCAAUCGGAAUUACUGGGCAUAAAGCGCACGCAGGCGGUUUGUUAAGUCAGAUGUGAAAUCCCCGGGCUCAACCUGGGAACUGCAUCUGAUACUGGUAAGCUUGAGUCUCGUAGAGGGGGGUAGAAUUCCAGGUGUAGCGGUGAAAUGCGUAGAGAUCUGGAGGAAUACCGGUGGCGAAGGCGGCCCCCUGGACGAAGACUGACGCUCAGGUGCGAAAGCGUGGGGAGCAAACAGGAUUAGAUACCCCAGUAGUC